RNAcentral lists this long non-coding RNA (513 nucleotides) under Pogona vitticeps (central bearded dragon). RNAcentral describes it as "lncRNA (ENSPVIG00000001555.1)". Lineage: Eukaryota; Metazoa; Chordata; Lepidosauria; Squamata; Agamidae. The record is from RNAcentral.
AUGCCACGUCCCAUUGAGAAUUCAUGCACCAAAGAUUUCUACCAUUAGUCCCCUUGGGGCAGAAGUAUUAAUGAGCAGGGAGGGCUUUUGUGUCAGCCAAUCAUAAGCGUUGUCAAUUGCUACGCUGCUUGUUUUCAAGGACUUCCUGAAUUGGUAUUCUUUUUCUGUUCUUGUUAUUAACUUCAUCACAUUUCAAAUAUGCCACCUGCCGUUGUUUUCAUGUGUUUCACUGCGUUUUCAUGGGUGCUCCUGAGUUGUCCAGGUUAUGACUGUUCUGUGCCAAUCAUGACUGAAAGGGAAUGUCUGACUCACAAAGUAUGGGGUUUUUGCACUGACGAGGAAUGUGAUAUGACCAACGAAGGGCAUUCACUGCUAGGUUACUGCAAGGGAGGAAAAAACUGCUGUGCCAAAUGAAAUGAGAUGUCAAGUCGGAAACUGGAGAGAGCAGCUUUCCUCAGUUCGAGAAUAAUGAUGGUUUUCUCAAGAAUCACCAUCACUUGGGCAGCAGAAAAG